This 497-nucleotide ribosomal RNA is filed under the name uncultured bacterium. RNAcentral describes it as "partial 16S ribosomal RNA". It matches the Rfam family "Bacterial small subunit ribosomal RNA", at positions 28 to 507 of the family's 1533-position model. The record is from RNAcentral.
GAUGAACGCUGGCGGCGUGCCUAAUACAUGCAAGUCGAGCGAACGGACGAGGAGCUUGCUUUUCUGAUGUUAGCGGCGGACGGGUGAGUAACACGUGGAUAACCUACCUAUAAGACUGGGAUAACUUCGGGAAACCGGAGCUAAUACCGGAUAAUAUUUUGAACCGCAUGGUUCAAAAGUGAAAGACGGUGUUGCUGUCACUUGUAGAUGGAUCCGCGCUGCAUUAGCUAGUUGGUAAGGUAACGGCUUACCAAGGCAACGAUGCAUAGCCGACCUGAGAGGGUGAUCGGCCACACUGGAACUGAGACACGGUCCAAACUCCUACGGGAGGCAGCAGUAGGGAAUCUUCCGCAAUGGGCGAAAGCCUGACGGAGCAACGCCGCGUGAGUGAUGAAGGUCUUCGGAUCGUAAAACUCUGUUAUUAGGGAAGAACAAGUGUGUAAGUAACUGUGCGCAUCUUGACGGUACCUAAUCAGAAAGCCACGGCUAACUACGUG